RNAcentral lists this transfer RNA (64 nucleotides) under Fischoederius cobboldi. Its description in RNAcentral is "tRNA-Cys". Lineage: Eukaryota; Metazoa; Platyhelminthes; Trematoda; Plagiorchiida; Gastrothylacidae. The record is from RNAcentral.
GAGCAUAUACGAUUUGUGUUGGAUCUUGCAAAGAUUCAGUUUAGUAUUUUAAUACUUAUGCUUU